RNAcentral lists this ribosomal RNA (513 nucleotides) under uncultured bacterium. RNAcentral's name for it is "partial 16S ribosomal RNA". It matches the Rfam family "Bacterial small subunit ribosomal RNA", at positions 28 to 507 of the family's 1533-position model. The record is from RNAcentral.
GACGAACGCUGGCGGCGUGCUUAACACAUGCAAGUCGAACGAAAAGAGGGAAAGAGCUUGCUCUUUCCGGAAUUGAGUGGCAAACGGGUGAGUAACACGUAAACAACCUGCCUUCAGGAUGGGGACAACAGACGGAAACGACUGCUAAUACCGAAUAAGUUCCAAGAGCCGCCUGGCCCAUGGAAGAAAAGGUGGCCUCUACCUGUAAGCUAUCGCCUGAAGAGGGGUUUGCGUCUGAUUAGCUGGUUGGAGGGGUAACGGCCCACCAAGGCGACGAUCAGUAGCCGGUCUGAGAGGAUGAACGGCCACACUGGAACUGAGACACGGUCCAGACUCCUACGGGGGGCAGCAGUGGGGAAUCUUCCGCAAUGGGCGAAAGCCUGACGGAGCAACGCCGCGUGAGUGAUGACGGCCUUCGGGUUGUAAAACUCUGUGAUCCGGGACGAAAAGGCAGAGUGCGAAGAACAAACUGCAUUGACGGUACCGGAAAAGCAAGCCACGGCUAACUACGUG